Molecule: ribosomal RNA, 424 nt
Filed under: uncultured bacterium
Lineage: Bacteria
Description: bacterial SSU rRNA
Rfam family: Bacterial small subunit ribosomal RNA
Source: RNAcentral
UGAGGGAUAUUGGUCAAUGGGCGCGAGCCUGAACCAGCCAAGUAGCGUGAAGGAUGACUGCCCUACGGGUUGUAAACUUCUUUUAUAAAGGAAUAAAGUGAGGCACGUGUGCCUUUUUGUAUGUACUUUAUGAAUAAGGAUCGGCUAACUCCGUGCCAGCAGCCGCGGUAAUACGGAGGAUCCGAGCGUUAUCCGGAUUUAUUGGGUUUAAAGGGAGCGUAGGUGGAUUGUUAAGUCAGUUGUGAAAGUUUGCGGCUCAACCGUAAAAUUGCAGUUGAAACUGGCAGUCUUGAGUACAGUAGAGGUGGGCGGAAUUCGUGGUGUAGCGGUGAAAUGCUUAGAUAUCACGAAGAACUCCGAUUGCGAAGGCAGCUCACUAGACUGCAACUGACACUGAUGCUCGAAAGUGUGGGUAUCAAACAGG